Molecule: long non-coding RNA, 1872 nt
Organism: Lutzomyia longipalpis
Lineage: Eukaryota; Metazoa; Arthropoda; Insecta; Diptera; Psychodidae
Exons: 5
Source: RefSeq, a predicted model, not a curated record
AUAGCCUCACGCAGGAGGAAAACCAUUGGAAACAGUCACAAGAACUCCAGAAAGGCGGAUAGAACUUUUGUGGUUAUAUUCAUUCACACCCCAAGCAAAAAUCAAUAUUAGUAAACUCAAAGUAUUUUGAUAAAAUAUAUUAAUCAUAAAGAGAAAGUGUAUAAAGAAGUGCAGUAAAAAAUUGUUUUUUGUUAAGUUCAUUUCAAAUUACGCAGAUAAAUUGAACUUGUGUGACUCAAAAUAUUUGCAUUUUAUUCAAUGAGAAUUUCAUAGCCGCUUCGAGGUAUUCAUUAUGGUGAAUCAAAAUAAAAAGCACACCAAGCUCAAAAGCAGUGGCGUAAAGAAAGUAAGCAAUAUUGAUCAAAACUCUGCGCCAACGAGCAAUAUGAGUGUAGAACUUAUAGAUGAGGAACCAAAUUCAGGAUUUUCAAACUACUUGAAGUCAGAUCAAGGUGUGGAAAUAAUGCGUUUGUUUGUUAUUGCAAACUCCUUACUUGCGGUUAUUACAUUUGCAUGGCCCAGCAUAAAGGAUACUUUUGAAAUUAUCAGAGAUUUUAUCAGUGCCAGCAACACACAAAAUCUACUGGAAUUCUAAUUAGAUGCCACAAAUAAUAUUAUUAUUGUGUACACAAUUUGCAACUCACAUAAUAAUGUUGACAACUUGGAUGUUUUCAAUUAGUGCAAAAGCGAUGUAUAUCCAACAAAUAUGUAUAAACAUAUGUGGCAAAUAUUAAUUAAAAACAAUUAAGUUGCAUUACCGCAGACUUAAUAGCUAUAUACAAUUGUGUUGUGUGCCGUUUUUGAAUUCUUCAACACAAAAUAGUGGAAAAAUGAUUGGUGUGGCAGUGCGAUAUUUCCUCUUCUUUGGAAUUAUGUUUUGGUAUAGCAAUGGUGUUUGGAAUUUAAUAAAUGGCUACUUCCAGCAGCAAUUUAAAACUUAUCUCACUGAAGAAAUGAAAGUUAGCAAUCGAAAGUUAUCAACCAACCCGUCCGACACAUCAGUGCCACGCAGUCCGAUAGACACGAAUAAAUGUAUGGCGAAAACUGAGGAUAUUAUUAUGAUUUCUACUGAUAAUCCGCUCAUCUGCCGCGAAGCUGCAAAUGAGAGGGUAUCAAUCAUUACCACCAACGACGACGUGUCACAAAACUCAGUGGACACUCGUGACUGUGAUAAUGAAAAUACCCAAGAAUGUACUAAGGGCAGAAACUUUCAACCAAAUGAUUCGGAAAGGUCAAUAGCUUGUCGUAAUGAUAAUAAUGAUGGUGGUACAUGCGACAUGUCUCUGGGAAAUUUGUGAGCAUAUAGGUUGAAGAAAAUGUAUAUGAGUUGUGAUGGAAAAGGAAAUCCGGCCACGAUGAUACAGUACAUAGUUAAAUCUACAGGUUGAUACACAACAAUUAUAUAUAAAUCAAACACAUCCAUCAAUGUUAGGAGUGCAUAAAAUGAGAGGGAGAGAGAAAAAACUGGGAAAAUCACUAAAUAACAUUGAAUUAUGCAGACAAGAGAGAUAUAGAGAGAAAUUUCAAGUGAAACUAUUACAAACACACAAUGAUUUCAUUAUCAUCGACAAAUUCAUACUCAUCGCCUUUGAUGGAGAUGCCGUAAAAAACAUUUUUCCUUUCAUCUCGGAUAUACCAAGUUAAACUCCAUCUGUGUAGGAAAGAAAUUGUUUGGAAUUUACAUGGUGUUAAAUGUGAGAAAAAAGCAAAAGUUUAAUACUGCAGUUUUGAGAUUCAUUGUUAGUUAUUCGACUUAUUAAUCAGUAAUUUUUGUAUAAUCUAUUUUAAGAAAUUCGCAAAUGUUAAAAUAAAAACAUUUGUAAAAUAAACUGUAAUUCGACGUUCUUCAAUAAACCUAUGCUAUUGAUUAAA